This 463-nucleotide ribosomal RNA is filed under the name uncultured Acidobacteriota bacterium. RNAcentral's name for it is "bacterial SSU rRNA". It matches the Rfam family "Bacterial small subunit ribosomal RNA", at positions 224 to 704 of the family's 1533-position model. The record is from RNAcentral. Lineage: Bacteria; Pseudomonadati; Acidobacteriota.
GAGGGGGUCGCGGCCGAUUAGCUAGUUGGCGGGGUAACGGCCCACCAAGGCGAUGAUCAGUAGCCGGCCUGAGAGGGCGCACGGCCACACUGGAACUGAAACACGGUCCUGACUCCUACGGGAGGCAGCAGUGGGGAAUUUUGCACAAUGGGGGAAACCCUGAUGCAGCAACGCCGCGUGGAGGAUGAAGUCCCUUGGGACGUAAACUCCUUUCGACCGGGACGAUAAUGACGGUACCGGUGGAAGAAGCCCCGGCUAACUCCGUGCCAGCAGCCGCGGUAAUACGGGGGGGGCAAGCGUUGUUCGGAAUUAUUGGGCGUAAAGGGCGCGUAGGCAGUGCGGUAAGUCUUCUGUGAAACCCCUGGGCUCAACCCAGGGCCUGCAGGAGAAACUGCCGUGCUGGAGUGUGGGAGAGGUGCGUGGAAUUCCCGGUGUAGCGGUGAAAUGCGUAGAUAUCGGGAGG